GAUGAACGCUGGCGGCGUGCCUAAUACAUGCAAGUCGAGCGAACGGACGAGAAGCUUGCUUUUCUGAUGUUAGCGGCGGACGGGUGAGUAACACGUGGAUAACCUACCUAUAAGACUGGGAUAACUUCGGGAAACCGGAGCUAAUACCGGUUAAUAUUUUGAACCGCAUGGUUCAAAAGUGAACGACGGUUUUGCUGUCACUUAUAGAUGGAUCCGCGUUGCAUUAGCUAGUUGGUAAGGUAACGGCUUACCAAGGCAACGAUGCAUAGCUGACCUGAGAGGAUGAUCAGUCACACUGGAACUGAGACACGGUCCAGACUCCUACGGGAGGCAGCAGUAGGGAAUCUUCCACAAUGGGCGAAAGCCUGACGGAGCAACGCCGCGUGAGUGAUGAAGGUCUUCGGAUCGUAAAACUCUGUUAUUAGGGAAGAACAUAUGUGUAAGUAACUGUGCACAUCUUGACGGUACCUAAUCAGAAAGCCACGGCUAACUACGUG
Molecule: ribosomal RNA, 497 nt
Filed under: uncultured bacterium
Lineage: Bacteria
Description: partial 16S ribosomal RNA
Rfam family: Bacterial small subunit ribosomal RNA
Source: RNAcentral